This 1198-nucleotide long non-coding RNA is filed under the name Ananas comosus (pineapple). Its description in RNAcentral is "long non-coding RNA (ACOM_LNC025972)". Lineage: Eukaryota; Viridiplantae; Streptophyta; Magnoliopsida; Poales; Bromeliaceae. The record is from RNAcentral.
UACAAUAUUUACAUUUUAAAUUUAUCAAAAUAUUUAAUAAUUAAAGAAAAUAUUCACCGAAAUCUAGACUGAUAUUGUGUUUCUGACGGAUAUAAAUCUUUCUCGAUUUAUACCGAUACACAUCCAUAAUAUUCAAACAAUCCAAUUAAUCCCUUCAAUGAUUCAUCAUCUACUAUAUCGUGAGCAAUGUCACACCCUGGAUUACCAUGUUUUUCCGGGCACGCCAACAGACCCGCCGUAUAUACAGCAAUUUUCCGUGUAUACGAAGCGAUAGCUAUACCUGUAAACAAUCAUAGCUACAACCAGAAGUAUAGAGCUCCUAAAACUGAAACAUGUAUAUAUAAAAACAUACUAAGCCUACUAUACAUACAAUAUCCAAAAGAGGAAUGCUUCAAUACACCAUAAAUAUUAAAAUUUAACUCUUAAUUAGUAAAGGGUAUAAUUGGAUUUUACAUGAAGUAACCUGUUGAACAGGUUACCGAUUUGAAUAGUCAAUAUGACAAUAUUGGAAAAAAAUAAUAAUAAUAUAUACCAAAUUUGUCAGCAUCCUAUAAAUAUUAAAUAUCUGAUUUACAUUGGUAACUUACCAAAUUAGAUAAUACUCAAUUUGUUAAGUAUCCAGCUCAAAAAACUAUUGAAUUUAAAUUUAAUUUUUGAAGUUGGUAUUGUAAUGUAAAAUUUUAAUUUUGAAAUUCAUAUUAAACUUUUAAAUUUGAAUCUAAAUGAACUUUUAAUCUUAAAGCCAAAUUUUAAUUUUUGAUUUAAAUUGAAAUUUUGAAUUGGAACUAAAAGUUUUAUUUUAAAUUUGUGGUUUAUAUUUAAAAAAAUUGAAUUUGAUUUAUAAUGAAGUUUAAAUAUUGUUUUGAAUUUAAAUUUACAAUUUGAAAUCCAACUAUUGUUGUAGGCAUUUGAAAAGGUCACAGUAUUAUUAGUUGGAUAAAACUGGUUUUGUAGACCAAAAUAUUUUACAAAGACCAAAAUACCCUUUAAAUAGGUACCUGGUGAAUGGUACCUAUGCUUCAAUAGUAGGUCACCUCUAGAGUCAUAUUAAAUCUAAACCAUCUAUUUAGACAAAUAAAUGGUCAAAAUUUAUAUGGUGUAUUGAAGCAUUACUCUAUCCAAAAAACAACCUCAACUAAGAGAGUACAACCAACAUAACAGUAUGUACACGAUAACAACCAAAAACUACCUCUGAAUG